AGGCUGGAAUUGGGAGCCCCAUUAUUGCUGCUGAUGGAAAAUUCAUAGGCAUGAGCUUUUUUUAUAAGGAUGGAGCUCCUUUCUUACCAAUCACUAUCCUCCAGAAAUGCUUAAAGCACUUCAAUGAAUUUGGGAGAGUUCUGCAGCCAUGGCAUGGUCUGAGGACUGGAUCACUUCAAGCUGAAAAACUGUGUGUCCGUGAAGAAGUACAUGACAGCUUCCCCCAUGCACAUGGCAUUUAAGUACAGAAGAUACUUGCUCCAAUUGUUGAUGAUGGUCACAUUUCCUUGGUUGUUGUUUCCGUCAAGAUGAAGACGAAGUAUGUCCUUUACUCUGCUCCAGGUUUCCAUCAAAAGCAGGCAAAUACUGUGUUAAAG
Long non-coding RNA from Triticum aestivum (bread wheat), 377 nucleotides. RefSeq lists it as uncharacterized. NCBI's taxonomy places the organism in Eukaryota, Viridiplantae, Streptophyta, Magnoliopsida, Poales, Poaceae. The record is from RefSeq and is a predicted model, not a curated record. The transcript is spliced from 3 exons.